UUAAAGGAUAUGGAGGUCCUCCUUAAAACCAAUUUUGGCAAGGAAGGUAUGAGAGCAUUGAUUCAAGAUUACUUAAAAGCGCAUGAAACAGCAGCACAUUGUCGUAAUAUGUGAAGUCUUGCUUGAGAAUGCUCCGAGCACCUGGCUGUGGAAGGAAGAAUAGAAAUUGUAAUAAUAAAAUCCUAAUUCUAAUAGAAUACUAACAAUACUCUAAUUAGAUCAUAAUAAUGCUAAACAAGCUUAAUCGAAUUCAAAAAAACCUCAAAGAAAUUUCAAACAAAUAAUAAGAAUUGUUAAAAAAAUAUUAGAAGGAUCACAAAUAUCACUCAAAUAUAUCUCAAUUCAAUCUUAAUUUAAUUCUAGUUAAAAUCCUAUUGAACUUCAUUAAAACUUUGGGCCAAAACUAAUUGAAUCUUAAAUCCUAAUAAAAUCCUAAAUCCUAAAUCAAACCCUAAACAAACCUUAAACCAAACCCCAACCAAAUCCUAAACCAAAUCCUAACCAAAUCCUAAACCAAAUCCUAACUAAAUCCUAAACCAAACCCUAAUCCAAAUCCUAAACCCUAAACCAAACUCUAACCAAACACUAAAUCCUAAAUAAAUCCUAAUCAAAUCCUAAUUCAAAUCCUAAAUCCUAAACCAAAUCCUAAUCCAAAUCCUAAAUACUAAACCCUAAAUCAAACCCUAAUCCAAACCC
This 696-nucleotide long non-coding RNA is filed under the name Physcomitrium patens. RNAcentral describes it as "long non-coding RNA (PPAT_LNC001740)". Lineage: Eukaryota; Viridiplantae; Streptophyta; Bryopsida; Funariales; Funariaceae. The record is from RNAcentral.